GUGCCAGCCGCCGCGGUAAUACGGAGGGUGCAAGCGUUAAUCGGAAUUACUGGGCGUAAAGCGUACGCAGGUGGUUAAUUAAGUCAGAUGUGAAAUCCCUAAGCUUAACUUAGGAACUGCAUUUGAAACUGAUUAGCUAGAGUUUUGUAGAGGGGGGUAGAAUUCCAGGUGUAGCGGUGAAAUGCGUAGAGCUCUGGAGGAAUACCAGUGGCGAAGGCGACCCCCUGGACAAAGACUGACACUCAUGUACGAAAGCGUGGGGAGCAAACAGGAUUAGAUACCCUGGUAGUCCAUGCUGUAAACAAUGUCAAUUUGAAGGUUGUAGCCUUGAGUUAUAGCUUUCGUAGCUAACGCGUUAAAUUGACCGCCUGGGGAGUACGGCCGCAAGGUUAAAACUCAAAUGAAUUGACGGGGGCCCGCACAAGCGGUGGAGCAUGUGGUUUAAUUCGAUGCAACGCGAAAAACCUUAUCUAUUCUUGACAUCCAAAGAAUAAAACAGAAAUGUUUUAGUGCCUUAGGGAACUUUGAGACAGGUGCUGCAUGGCUGUCGUCAGCUCGUGUUGUGAAAUGUUGGGUUAAGUCCCGCAACGAGCGCAACUCCUAUCCUUUGUUGCCAUCGAGUAAAGUCGGGAACUCAAAGGAGACUGCUGGUGAUAAACCGGAGGAAGGUUGGGGACGACGUCAAGUCAUCAUGGUCUCUUACGAAUAGGGCUACACA
Molecule: ribosomal RNA, 718 nt
Filed under: uncultured bacterium
Lineage: Bacteria
Description: bacterial SSU rRNA
Rfam family: Bacterial small subunit ribosomal RNA
Source: RNAcentral